CCAUUUGACGAUUAAUAAAGAGUGUUCUAUUUUGUUCACCAAUAUAUACUAUACUAUGUAUUUUGUUCCAUUCUAAUUGGGUUUUAGGGUAUAUAUUUGGGUUUAGGGUUUAGUAAUUAGGAUUUAGGGUUUAGUAUUUGAAAAAUAGAAGUUGAGGUUUGGGUUUAGUGAUAGCAGUUUAGGGUUUAGAAUUCAAAAUUUAGGUCUGUAAUUAGGAUUUAGAAUUUGUGUUUUGGGUUAGAACCAUAUACUAUUCAAAAGUUAGGCUUCAAUAUAGUUUAAUAUUAUACUAUUUUCAUAUUUUGAUACUUGGGUUUAGGGUUGAUAAUUAAAGUUUAUAUUUGGGUUUAGUAUUUUAAAGUUUGGUUAGCGUUUAGUAUUUAAAAGUUGUGUAUUGGGUUAAUAUGGAAUGCAUUAUUUAUUGAAAAGUUUUAUAUUUUUUUCUAUUUAUUUUACUGCCAUUCAGUCACCUAAUUAUAGUUUAUAUUUGGAUUAGGAUUUAUGAAUCAGUAUUUAGGAGUUGGGAUAGUGUUUAGUCUUUAAAGAUUAUGGAUGUGGUUUUUAGUUCUUCUAUAUUACUUCGUGUGAUGUGGAAUAUAACACUCAGUGCAUACAUAUGUGGUCAAUAAAUAUGUAACGUAGAUGUCUCUUUUGUCUUCACUCCUGGCCAUAUAUUAUUUGCUAUAAUACUAGCCAUAUUUUUCUUUGUUUACGUCAUCUCAUUUUCUUCCAUUUCAUUUGUUACUUGUAUAAGAAAAG
This 759-nucleotide long non-coding RNA is filed under the name Brassica napus (rape). RNAcentral's name for it is "long non-coding RNA (BNAP_LNC018071)". Lineage: Eukaryota; Viridiplantae; Streptophyta; Magnoliopsida; Brassicales; Brassicaceae. The record is from RNAcentral.